Molecule: transfer RNA, 74 nt
Filed under: Candidatus Woesearchaeota archaeon
Lineage: Archaea; Nanobdellati; Candidatus Woesearchaeota
Description: tRNA-Arg
Rfam family: tRNA
About the family: Transfer RNA (tRNA) molecules are approximately 80 nucleotides in length. Their secondary structure includes four short double-helical elements and three loops (D, anti-codon, and T loops).
Source: RNAcentral
GGCCCCAUAGCAUAAUCUGGAUAGUGUAGAAGGUUUCGACCCUUCUGGUCUGGGUUCGAAUCCCAGUGGGGUCG